CAUUCCCUCUGUAUGCUGUGACAGGCAAAUCCGUUUCUGCAAAAUGCACCUUGGAGAGAGCACAGCAGACAACUUUCCUAAAUGAAGGAGAAACAGUAAUGAGUGGUUCUGCAGAGGCUCCCUCACUAGAUGCUCUGAACUGACCCUGACUCACUGCUGGAUGGGGGCUGGCACACUGACUCGUUUGCCUUGUGAAUCUCUUAUCUGUAUUUGAUGUGGUUUGAAACAAGGUCUCAGACAUGGAGAGGGUGAUGGAAGGUCUGCAGGAACACGUGGCAGUGCUGUUCGAGCCACAUCCUGCACAGUCAAGUUGUGCAGCUUCUGCUCAUGCCUCAGGACACCAGAGCUACGAUCAAGUCUGGAAGGAGAUCUAUGAGCUCUACCAGAAGCUGCUGCUUUGACAAGUAUAAAAGCAAGUUCCUGUAUCUGCAUCCUCAUGUUUCAUUUGGCUCCCUCUGCCCAUGUCCACCUGCCUGCACCAGUGGGCUCUGGGGCGAGCGUGCCUGGGGAUCCUGAACUACUUCAGGUCUGUGGAGAGAAGCCUGACCAUCAGUACCGCUGGCCUCUCCUUCAAGGCUGGUCACCUAAUUCCCAGUGCAGAAGACACCUUGGUCUGCUGCCAAAGGAAGCACUGGUGCCUUCAAUGCCCUGAGUUCACAGCUGUAUAUUCACUACACACCAGCGGACUACAAGCACAGGACCACAGCACUCAAUUCACAGAGUUUGCAGAGGUGAAAAACCAUGAUGACUUUUACACUAGUGAAGAAGGAUAUAUUCAUACACAGGACCAGCGAGGGGUUUACAUAAUAUAUGAUGUGGCUUUAGAGGACCUGAAGGAGCUCGAGAACCAGCUGCUGCUUGUGGCCAGCCAGUACAUUAAGAAAGAUAACAGCAAUGUAACUUGUGAGCAAUUCAGUGGCAGCAAGAUCCUUGGCUGGGCAUAUGCCUCUGUGGAUGGAUGUGCUGUGCUGCUUGACCUCUGGACCUGUGAAACUGCCCUCUUGGGAAAAAAAUGCCAGAUAAAUGCCCGGAGGGAAUACAGCCACAAGAUUUGACAGGAAGAUCAGAGAGGUUGCAUUGCUGAAUUUGGACUUUCUUAUAAUGUAAUUACUAAGCAAUCUUAACACUAGCUGGUAAGUAAUUAUACAGUUUUAUUUUUCUGGAGAGUACUACUUUCUGCCCUAGUUUCUGUGAGUGAUUGUAAAAAUUUGGUACCCUGCACCUGAAAAUAAGACU
This 1236-nucleotide long non-coding RNA is filed under the name Calidris pugnax (ruff). RNAcentral describes it as "lncRNA (ENSCPUG00000009300.1)". Lineage: Eukaryota; Metazoa; Chordata; Aves; Charadriiformes; Scolopacidae. The record is from RNAcentral.